RNAcentral lists this transfer RNA (85 nucleotides) under Botrychium ternatum. RNAcentral describes it as "tRNA-Ser". It matches the Rfam family "tRNA". Rfam says of the family: Transfer RNA (tRNA) molecules are approximately 80 nucleotides in length. Their secondary structure includes four short double-helical elements and three loops (D, anti-codon, and T loops). Lineage: Eukaryota; Viridiplantae; Streptophyta; Polypodiopsida; Ophioglossales; Ophioglossaceae. RNAcentral also lists the same sequence under 1 other name. The record is from RNAcentral.
GGAGGAAUGGCAGAGCGGUCGAUUGCGACGAUCCCGAAAAUCGUUUUAGCCCUGGUUGACGAGGGUUCGAAUCCCUCUUCCUCCG